AAACCAACAGGGAUUGCCCUAGUAACGGCGAGUGAAGCGGCAACAGCUCAAAUUUGAAAUCUGGCUCUUUCAGAGUCCGAGUUGUAAUUUGCAGAGGGCGCUUUGGCGUCGGCAGCGGUCCAAGUUCUUUGGAACAGGACGUCACAGAGGGUGAGAAUCCCGUACGUGGUCGCUAGCCUUCGCCGUGUAAAGCCCCUUCGACGAGUCGAGUUGUUUGGGAAUGCAGCUCUAAAUGGGAGGUAAAUUUCUUCUAAAGCUAAAUACUGGCCAGAGACCGAUAGCGCACAAGUAGAGUGAUCGAAAGAUGAAAAGCACUUUGGAAAGAGAGUCAAAUAGCACGUGAAAUUGUUGAAAGGGAAGCGCUUGCAGCCAGACUUACCUGUAGUUGCUUAUCUGGACUUUUGUCCAGUGCACUCUUCUACGGGUAGGCCAGCAUCAGUUUGGGCGGUUGGAUAAAGGUCUCUGUCACGUACCUCCCUUCGGGGUGGCCUUAUAGGGGAGACGUCAUGCAACCAGCCUGGACUGAGGUCCGCGCAUCUGCUAGGAUGCUGGCGUAAUGGCUGUAAGCGGC
Molecule: ribosomal RNA, 571 nt
Filed under: Shiraia sp. JP232
Lineage: Eukaryota; Fungi; Ascomycota; Dothideomycetes; Pleosporales; Shiraiaceae
Also listed under: 3 other names
Description: eukaryotic LSU rRNA
Rfam family: Eukaryotic large subunit ribosomal RNA
Source: RNAcentral